UAUUAUGAGAGUUUGAUCCUGGCUCAGGACGAACGCUGGCGGCGUGCCUAAUACAUGCAAGUCGAACGCUUCUUUCCUCCCGAGUGCUUGCACUCAACUGGAAAGAGGAGUGGCGGACGGGUGAGUAACACGUGGGUAACCUACCCAUCAGAGGGGGAUAACACUUGGAAACAGG
Molecule: ribosomal RNA, 175 nt
Filed under: Enterococcus faecalis
Lineage: Bacteria; Bacillati; Bacillota; Bacilli; Lactobacillales; Enterococcaceae
Description: partial 16S ribosomal RNA
Rfam family: Bacterial small subunit ribosomal RNA
Source: RNAcentral